GUUUACGCUGGUUUCGGAAGAGAAUAGAAGGCAAGGGAAUUGAAAUUUCCUUUCCUUUUGUUUUUGUUUCCUUUUCUGAUUGUUUCUUCCUGUGGAAGGAAAGUGAAAGAAAGGAAAGGAACAGAAAGUGAUGGAAGCUGCNNNNNNNNNNNNNAUCAGAAGAAUACAUCCUAAGAAAUCGCAGACUGCUCUCUCCGCUCUCCUCAGCCUCCUGCCUCACCACUCCUCCGAUCUCCUCUCCCAAGUCGAUCAGCCUCUCCAGGUUGUGUGUGAUGUGGAUUGUGGAAAGGAGUUCAUAUUAUGUGAAUAUAAUAGAGAUGCUGACUCUUACAGGUCACCGUGGUCAAAUAAAUAUCACCCACCCCUAGAAGAUGCACUCUAUCCGUCUUCAGAGUUGAGGAAACUUGAAAUUGAAGCAAAUGAAGUCUUUGCCAUCUAUCGUGACCAGUAUUAUGAAGGUGGCAUCUCAUCUGUUUACUUGUGGGAAGAUGAUGAUAGUGAAGGUUUUGUAGCAUGCUUUUUGAUAAAGAAAGACGGCUCAAAAACAGGGCAGGGCAGAAGGGGUUACCUGCAGGAGGGAGCUUGGGACGCCAUUCAUGUUAUUGAGGUGGGGCCAGAAGAGGAAGGAGCAGCCCAUUAUUGUUUGACCAGUACUGUUAUGCUAUCUUUGACUACAAAUGGCGAGUCAUCUGGCACUUUCAGUCUCUCAGGGUCUAUUAGACGACAGAUGAACAUGGACCUCGCAAUUGCAGAUGGUCAUCUUUGUAACAUGGGAAGGAUGAUAGAAGAAAUGGAGGGUAAACUUAGGAACUCACUUGAUCAGGUUUAUUUUGGGAAGACAAAAGAGAUGGUUUGCACUUUACGACCCCCAGCUGAAGUAGUGAUGAGACUGCCAAACAGCUGAGCAUUAUAUGAUGAUGGCAACAGAGGAUGCAUUCUGUCUAUGUCAGAAAUUCGUGUAACAGUGAUUGCUGAAGGAUAUUUGUAGAUUUUCUCGUCUCUUCACCUUUUGGCUUAUUACUUGAGAUCAUUAUAUAUUCACAGUUUGUCUAAUUGUAAACUGAGGUGGUUCCUUUUGCAGAGGAGAGUUAUCCUUUUUGUGCUUUGCCA
RNAcentral lists this unclassified non-coding RNA (1110 nucleotides) under Hevea brasiliensis (rubber tree). Lineage: Eukaryota; Viridiplantae; Streptophyta; Magnoliopsida; Malpighiales; Euphorbiaceae. The record is from RNAcentral.